UUCUAUAUUCGAACGAUUUUUUUUAAAAAAAAAAACCUUCAUUAUUUCUUCAUUCUGAUAAAAAAAUAAUGAAUUCCGUUCAUACAUUUCUUAUAGUUUUCGGCCUACCCCGAGCAUUUGCUGCUGGCGGUUCAUCGCAAAAAGAUUCAGACGCGGAACCAUCAGCUCCUGGUAAAUAACAAAUUUUAAUUCGAUUGCAAGGAUUGAUCUCUGAACUAAUCGGAAAUUUUUGCCACAAAAAUUCUAAUAAAAUUUCAGUACCGUUUGAUACGAAUGCAGCAAAACAGCUACUAAAUGGAAUGCUGGACUAUUUUAAUGGCCUUGGAGCAUUAACAGGAGAUUACCAAACACUUCAAACCGGAAUCAAUAACGCGACCGAUGCAAAGAGCGUAAUAGAAGCUGGUAGAGAAAUACUCACUGCCAGGGGUAGUCAAGGAAAUCUUGUAGAUAAGGCAGAAAAGGAUGCGAAUGUUGCUAGAACAAUGAUAG
Molecule: long non-coding RNA, 489 nt
Organism: Planococcus citri (citrus mealybug)
Lineage: Eukaryota; Metazoa; Arthropoda; Insecta; Hemiptera; Pseudococcidae
Exons: 3
Source: RefSeq, a predicted model, not a curated record